RNAcentral lists this ribosomal RNA (253 nucleotides) under uncultured bacterium. RNAcentral's name for it is "partial 16S ribosomal RNA". It matches the Rfam family "Bacterial small subunit ribosomal RNA", at positions 524 to 776 of the family's 1533-position model. The record is from RNAcentral.
UACAGAGGUCCCGAGCGUUGUUCGGAUUCACUGGGCGUAAAGGGUGCGUAGGUGGCAUAGAAAGUUUGAUGUGAAAGCUCAGGGCUUAACCCUGAAAUGGCAUUGAAUACUGCUGUGCUGGAGGUUUGGAGGGGGGACUGGAAUUCUUGGUGUAGCAGUGAAAUGCGUAGAUAUCGGAAAGAACACCAACGGCGAAAGCACUCUGCUGGGCCGACACUGACACUGAGAGACGAAAGCUAGGGGAGCGAAUGGG